ACUGAUGAAUUCAACGAGUGCAUGCCUGGGUUGAAAAGCCUGGGUAAUCUUUUUAAAUUUCAUCGUGAUGGGGAUAGAUCAUUGCAAUUAUUGAUCUUCAAG
RNAcentral lists this non-coding RNA (102 nucleotides) under Selaginella moellendorffii. RNAcentral describes it as "rRNA SSU_rRNA_eukarya". It matches the Rfam family "Eukaryotic small subunit ribosomal RNA", at positions 1502 to 1604 of the family's 1831-position model. The record is from Rfam by way of RNAcentral. Lineage: Eukaryota; Viridiplantae; Streptophyta; Lycopodiopsida; Selaginellales; Selaginellaceae.